UCUUCGUCUUCAAACUUCAAAGCUCAUUUCUUUACUUUUUUUAUUAUGAUCCUUCUUCUUACCAACCUAUUGCAACUUCAACUUUAACAUCACAAUCUUCAAAAUACACUAUAAAUCUUUCACUUUCAACUCAGUUACUUGCACAUAAUAUAUACUAUAAUUACUUACUUUCCCUCAUAUUUUUUCAUCGUAUUUAUACAUAAUCUUACUAUAUCUACGUAUAAAGAAGGUUUUUUUUUUUUUCUCGGAGCUGGGGGACUCAACUGGGAGCUCAUAAUCAUGAAGAAAGGGAGCUUAAGCUCCGGUCUCAAACUCACUGUUCCUGCAUCUGAUUGGGGUUCAUUUACCAAGUUUUUGUCUGAGUCUGAAAAUGAAACGUUCCAGGCAGGGGACUUGCUUGUCGACAAGGAAGGUGUUCGAGUUGUUUCUGAGAAGGAAGUGGAAGCUCCACCACCAAUCACGCCACUAGACAACCAGUUGAAUCUGGCAGAUAUUGAUACAAUCAAAGUGAUUGGAAAAGGAAAUGGAGGGAUAGUGCAAUUGGUGCAACACAAAUGGACUAAUCAAUUUUUUGCAUUGAAGGAAAUUCAUAUGAAUAUUGAGGAGCCUAUUCACAGGCAGAUAGCACUUGAGCUAAAAAUUAAUCAAUCAGCACAAUGUCCUUAUGUUGUUGUCUGCUACCAGUCAUUCUACCAUAAUGGUGUCAUAUCAAUCAUAUUUGAGUACAUGGACGGAGGGUCCUUAGAAGAUCUUCUGAACAAAGUUAAAAAAAUUCCAGAGUCAUAUCUUGCUGCCAUCUGCAAGCAGGUGCUGAAGGGUUUAAUGUAUCUUCACCAUGAAAAAUACAUUAUCCACAGGGACUUAAAACCUUCUAAUCUGCUAAUAAAUCAUAGAGGGGAGGUAAAGAUUACUGACUUUGGUGUAAGCAUAGUCAUGGAAAAUACAUCUGGUCAAGCAAAUACUUUCAUUGGCACACACAGCUAUAUGUCUCCAGAGAGAAUCACUACUGACCAGAGUGGCUACGACUACAAAAGUGACAUAUGGAGCUUGGGACUGAUUUUGCUCAAGUGUGCCACGGGGCAGUUUCCAUAUACACCACCAGAUCAACUUGAAGGAUGGGAAAAUAUUUUCCAGCUUAUUGAAGUCAUUGUUGAAAAACCUUCCCCCACUGCUCCACCAGAAGAUUUUUCUCCAGAAUUUUGCUCAUUUAUCUCAGCAUGUUUGCAGAAAAAUCCAAGAGAUAGACCGUCUGCUCGUGACCUUAUAAACCAUCCUUUUAUCAAAUUGUAUGAGGAGGACUUGAAUGUGGAUCUUUCAACUUAUUUCUACAACGCAGGAUCUACACUUGCAACCAUAUAGAACAUGGUAUGUUUCCGUCCUGGACUUUAUUCAAAGGUAAUAGAGUUUGUGCUAUGUAUCAUUUGUGCUAUGUAUCACUUCACUAGGUAUUCUUGAAUGCAAAUUACCACAAACAGAAUGUGUUGAUCUGUCACUGUAGUUGUUUCUAUAUGGAGGGAGCAAAGAAAGCCAAGGUUUUAAAUUGCAUGCGGUUGAAAUUUUGUAACUCUAAAUAUUGUAAAAAAUUAAGGGGUAAAUACAGCUGAUGCAGUCACUUAAUGUUGCAGUCAAAAUUGCAAUCGCAGACUGCUUUUUAAAACCUUGGUAACUGCUAUAGAUAUUAUUACCUAAACUCCAAGUAAACGUGGAAUGUGCUGGUUUGCUUCCAAGUUUCCAAGUCUCCAUAGUAAAUAUACGAGGCCCUUUCACAUAAACACACAGUUCUGAGCAGUGAACGUUAUGGCAUUCUCUGUGAACUUGGCAAAUGGCAAGUUCUACUGUCACUUUAUAUGUAAUUGCAAUUUAUAUUCCUUUACUUGGUGGAGGAUCCCCAGUUGCCAUGACCAGAAUUUGCAGAAUGGAGCCAGCGAAACCAGCUUCUAUGAUUAUGUCAAGGCAUAUUACUGUGUUGCCAAGAUAGAGUCAAAUGUUUUAUAGCACAAACUCUUCAGAGAAAUUUAUACACUCAUUUGAAAAUAACCAAUAAUAUAUUCAGUAGUGGUUGGGAUGAUUAUUUGAGAAGACAAUCUGAAACUUUUACAACAUUGUUCAUUAAAAAUUAAUUUAACUUUCUGAUGGGGGCAGCACCAGAGUGACACCUUAAGGUGAGGCAUCCCUGUGCGCAACAAAUUCUGGCAUACAAUGCAUAGCCCUGUUGAAAAACUGAAGGGCCAACAUAAUAAAUAAAUAAAUAUGGUAAGGACUAAAAGAUACUUGUAGAAUGGAAUACAUUUGAGAAAUAUUCCAGAUAAAGGGUUAUCUAUUUUAUUCUUUUUUCUUGAAUUUUCUUUGGGGCUUCAAGUCUAUAACAAUGACAGAGAUGUUAUCUUUGCUUCCUCUUUGAAGGGCAAGUCUAGAUAGAUACUCUGCAGCAUACCGAGCUGCAGGGUCAGGUCCUUGGCCUUGUUGUGAUGAUGAGUUGUUGCCAUUCUUCUUAUGCCAAAGAAGGAUUCUCCUUCUUGCAAAGUCACAGGCUUCUUCAUUUGUCAUGACAUCCCAUAAUCCAUCACUGGCCAGAAUGAGGCACUCAUCGUUUUUGUCUCUCUGGAUACACUUCACUUCUGGCUCUGGAAUUACCCAUGGUUUUAAGUACCUGUCACCU
RNA transcript from Vigna angularis (adzuki bean), 2659 nucleotides. It is a transcript of the gene named mitogen-activated protein kinase kinase 2-like, with no coding region annotated. The transcript is spliced from 9 exons. NCBI's taxonomy places the organism in Eukaryota, Viridiplantae, Streptophyta, Magnoliopsida, Fabales, Fabaceae. The record is from RefSeq and is a predicted model, not a curated record.